This 90-nucleotide transfer RNA is filed under the name Pyricularia grisea. RNAcentral describes it as "Magnaporthe grisea tRNA". It matches the Rfam family "tRNA". Rfam says of the family: Transfer RNA (tRNA) molecules are approximately 80 nucleotides in length. Lineage: Eukaryota; Fungi; Ascomycota; Sordariomycetes; Magnaporthales; Pyriculariaceae. The record is from Rfam by way of RNAcentral.
GGGGAUAUGGUUUAGUGGUAUAAUGCUUCCUUAGCAACCUGAAGUUGCCUUGAAUGGAAGAGGUCCCGAGUUCGAUUCUUGGUGUCUCCA